RNAcentral lists this non-coding RNA (175 nucleotides) under Clostridiaceae bacterium. RNAcentral's name for it is "6S RNA". It matches the Rfam family "6S / SsrS RNA". Rfam says of the family: E. coli 6S RNA was the first non coding RNA to be sequenced, but its function was unknown until recently. It consists of 184 nucleotides that fold into an extended hairpin structure with a large single-stranded internal bulge. The 6S RNA specifically associates with RNA polymerase holoenzyme containing the sigma70 specificity factor. Lineage: Bacteria; Bacillati; Bacillota; Clostridia; Eubacteriales; Clostridiaceae. The record is from RNAcentral. RNAcentral also lists the same sequence under 1 other name.
GAAUUCCUGAGGUACACGAUAACCCUUGUAUUUGAACCUACAGUAAUUUGACGGGAUUUGGAAGUAUGAAUGCAGAUGUCAAGCCGUGAUCUGGCGGAAGACAGAAACAUCCAUCACAGAACCCACCUGGCGUAUGCUAGGCGUCAAAAAAAAGGGCCGGUAUUUUGGGAAUUUU